GGGUAAGCCUUAACCGACGAAGGAACGGACGGCCUUCGACCGACGGUGUGGCCGAUGACUGGGGUG
This 66-nucleotide ribosomal RNA is filed under the name uncultured bacterium. RNAcentral describes it as "partial 16S ribosomal RNA". The record is from RNAcentral.